UCUGUCCCGGUUUAAGCGUGUAGGCUGGUUUUCCAGGCAAAUCCGGAAAAUCAAGGCUGAGGCGUGAUGACGAGGCACUACGGUGCUGAAGCAACAAAUGCCCUGCUUCCAGGAAAAGCCUCUAAGCAUCAGGUAACAUCAAAUCGUACCCCAAACCGACACAGGUGGUCAGGUAGAGAAUACCAAGGCGCUUGAGAGAACUCGGGUGAAGGAACUAGGCAAAAUGGUGCCGUAACUUCGGGAGAAGGCACGCUGAUAUGUAGGUGAAGCGACUUGCUCGUGGAGCUGAAAUCAGUCGAAGAUACCAGCUGGCUGCAACUGUUUAUUAAAAACACAGCACUGUGCAAACACGAAAGUGGACGUAUACGGUGUGACGCCUCCCCGGUGCCGGAAGGUUAAUUGAUGGGGUCAGCGCAAGCGAAGCUCUUGAUCGAAGCCCCGGUAAACGGCGGCCGUAACGAUAACGGUCCUAAGGUAGCGAAAUUCCUUGUCGGGUAAGUUCCGACCUGCACGAAUGGCGUAAUGAUGGCCAGGCUGUCUCCACCCGAGACUCAGUGAAAUUGAACUCGCUGUGAAGAUGCAGUGUACCCGCGGCAAGACGGAAAGACCCCGUGAACCUUUACUAUAGCUUGACACUGAACAUUGAGCCUUGAUGUGUAGGAUAGGUGGGAGGCUUUGAAGUGUGGACGCCAGUCUGCAUGGAGCCGACCUUGAAAUACCACCCUUUAAUGUUUGAUGUUCUAACGUGGACCCGUGAUCCGGGUUGCGGACAGUGUCUGGUGGGUAGUUUGACUGGGGCGGUCUCCUCCUAAAGAGUAACGGAGGAGCACGAAGGUUGGCUAAUCCUGGUCGGACAUCAGGCGGUUAGUGCAAUGGCAUAAGCCAGCUUGACUGCGAGCGUGACGGCGCGAGCAGGUGCGAAAGCAGGUCAUAGUGAUCCGGUGGUUCUGAAUGGAAGGGCCAUCGCUCAACGGAUAAAAGGUACUCCGGGGAUAACAGGCUGAUACCGCCCAAGAGUUCAUAUCGACGGCGGUGUUUGGCACCUCGAUGUCGGCUCAUCACAUCCUGGAGCUGAAGUAGGUCCCAAGGGUAUGGCUGUUCGCCAUUUAAAGUGGUACGCGAGCUGGGUUUAGAACGUCGUGAGACAGUUCGGUCCCUAUCUGCCGUGGGCGCUGGAGAACUGAGGGGGGCUGCUCCUAGUACGAGAGGACCGGAGUGGACGCAUCACUGGUGUUCGGGUUGUCAUGCCAAUGGCACUGCCCGGUAGCUAAAUGCGGAAGAGAUAAGUGCUGAAAGCAUCUAAGCACGAAACUUGCCCCGAGAUGAGUUCUCCCUGACUCCUUGAGAGUCCUGAAGGAACGUUGAAGACGGCGACGUUGAUAGGCCGGGUGUGUAAGCGCAGCGAUGCGUUGAGCUAACCGGUACUAAUGAACCGUGAGGC
RNAcentral lists this ribosomal RNA (1441 nucleotides) under metagenome. RNAcentral describes it as "bacterial LSU rRNA". It matches the Rfam family "Bacterial large subunit ribosomal RNA", at positions 1501 to 2917 of the family's 2925-position model. The record is from RNAcentral.